RNAcentral lists this ribosomal RNA (253 nucleotides) under uncultured bacterium. Its description in RNAcentral is "partial 16S ribosomal RNA". It matches the Rfam family "Bacterial small subunit ribosomal RNA", at positions 524 to 776 of the family's 1533-position model. The record is from RNAcentral.
UACGUAGGUGGCAAGCGUUGUCCGGAUUUAUUGGGCGUAAAGCGAGCGCAGGCGGUUACUUAAGUUUGAUGUGAAAGCCCCCGGCUCAACCGGGGAGGGGCAUUUGAGACUGGUGAACUUGAGUGUAGAAGAGGAGAGUGGAAUUCCAUGUGUAGCGGUGAAAUGCGUAGAGAUAUGGAGGAACACCAGUGGCGAAGGCGACUCUCUGGUCUGUAACUGACGCUGAGGCUCGAAAGCGUGGGUAGCAAACAGG